RNAcentral lists this signal recognition particle RNA (264 nucleotides) under Bacillota bacterium. RNAcentral describes it as "Firmicutes bacterium signal recognition particle sRNA large type". It matches the Rfam family "Bacterial large signal recognition particle RNA". Rfam says of the family: The signal recognition particle (SRP) is a universally conserved ribonucleoprotein involved in the co-translational targeting of proteins to membranes. The record is from RNAcentral. Lineage: Bacteria; Bacillati; Bacillota.
CCGCGCUAGAUGGGGAGGUAGCGGUGCCCUGAACCCGCAACCCGCUAGAGCGGGGUCGAACUCCCACCCCCGGUCCAGCUCCGGUCGGGCCGCCCGGCGACGGCGGCGUAGACGACCUGGCCCUGCGCAACGGAACCCCGUGAACCCCGCCAGGCCCGGAAGGGAGCAGCGGUAAGCGGGCCAGUCCGUGUGCCGCAGGUCCCCCUGGUCCGAGCUUGCCCCGCCGGUAACGCCGGCUGGCGCGGAUCAAAGGUGGGUGCGCGG